AUGAACGCUGGCGGCGUGCCUAAUCCAUGCAAGUCGAGCGAACAGAUGAGGAGCUUGCUCCUCUGACGUUAGCGGCGGACGGGUGAGUAACACGUGGAUAACCUACCUAUAAGACUGGGAUAACUUCGGGAAACCGGAGCUAAUACCGGAUAAUAUAUUGAACCGCAUGGUUCAAUAGUGAAAGACGGUUUUGCUGUCACUUAUAGAUGGAUCCGCGCCGCAUUAGCUAGCUGGUAAGGUAACGGCUUACCAAGGCAACGAUGCGUAGCCGACCUGAGAGGGUGAUCGGCCACACUGGAACUGAGACACGGUCCAGACUCCUACGGGAGGCAGCAGUAGGGAAUCUUCCGCAAUGGGCGAAAGCCUGACGGAGCAACGCCGCGUGAGUGAUGAAGGUCUUCGGAUCGUAAAACUCUGUUAUUAGGGAAGAACAAAUGUGUAAGUAACUAUGCACGUCUUGACGGUACCUAAUCAGAAAGCCACGGCUAACUACGUG
This 496-nucleotide ribosomal RNA is filed under the name uncultured bacterium. RNAcentral's name for it is "partial 16S ribosomal RNA". It matches the Rfam family "Bacterial small subunit ribosomal RNA", at positions 29 to 507 of the family's 1533-position model. The record is from RNAcentral.